AACGCACAUUGCACUCCUUGGUAUUCCGAGGAGUAUGCCUGUUUCAGUAUCAUGAGCACUCUCACACCUAACCUUUGGGCUAAGAUGUGGAAUUGGGAUGCGCCGAUUUUCAUUAGUCGGCACUCCUAAAAUGUAGCUCUUGGCUGUUUCCUACUACAGCAGUUUGGCCUAAUAGUUUUGACUUUUGUCAAAUCUUUGGCUACAUUUGCUUCUGGAAAUCAGUCUUGAUAAUACAGAAAACUCAUUUCAAACUUUGAUCUGAAAUCAGGUAGGGCUACCCGCUGAACUUAA
Molecule: unclassified non-coding RNA, 291 nt
Filed under: uncultured Umbelopsis
Lineage: Eukaryota; Fungi; Mucoromycota; Umbelopsidomycetes; Umbelopsidales; Umbelopsidaceae
Description: sequence contains ITS2
Source: RNAcentral